Molecule: non-coding RNA, 2572 nt
Organism: Penaeus vannamei (Pacific white shrimp)
Lineage: Eukaryota; Metazoa; Arthropoda; Malacostraca; Decapoda; Penaeidae
Source: RefSeq, a predicted model, not a curated record
UAUAUAUAUGCGUACAUGUACUUAUAAAAACGCAACAAGAUAUGUGAUAGUUUAUAAUUGCUCAUGCAUAAGAAUCAUUCGACAUUCAUUUUACAAAGUGGAAGUGAAGUGGAGUGAAAGAGAAGACGAAGUAAAAAAGAAAAAAAAUACAUUGUAUAAGAUAGUCGUAGAAUUUCCACUUAAGUCGCCACCGCUGUGUCCAUUUCGCUCAGACUUUUUUUAAACUUUGAGACGACGGUUAGGAAAAGUUUGAAUUUUGUAACGGUUUUUUUUUUUCUUUUCUUCUUUGUCGUCUAGGUCUCUCGGUAUGUACACGCCUCUGUCUGUUUAUUCGAAAUGCAUUUGUAUACAUGUGAAGCAUUGAUGUUUAAAAAAAAAAACACUAUGUCUGGACGUUAAUAAGCGAUUUAGCAAUUCUUAUACGUGAUAUUAUGUAAGGCAAAUGGUGUUUACGAUAGAUGCUGUGUAGUUUCUCGUCUGCUCUUUAUUCGCUUUUUUUCUCUUUUCUUCCUCUCCCCCCGCCUCCUCCUCCCCAUUCUUUCUCUCUCUCUUUCUCUUUCUCUCUCUCUCUCACCCUUGAACGUCACAGAUAAAUCAACCGUUAUUAAUGUCGCGUAAAUAUUCUAAAUGUUAGUAUUCCGAAAUCCCUUCCUUUCCAUCUCCCCAUUCGCAAGGAUUACGUAAAGACAGGAAAGCUUACUUGACUUAUGUGCUUCACCAAUAGAUGGCGGUAGUAAACAAAAAAAAAACGCCAUCUGUUGGCUGUACGUAUCAUUAGUAGAUAACCGUGUAUAAACGACCUCAUCUCUUUGUAGUACUAUUUCUUAGCUUUACCAAUAGAUGACGUUAGUACACCGAAAUCAACUAGCAGUUUGACCGUGUUUCAGUGAUAGAUGGUAGUGACAAUAAAAAUAUCAGCUAUUGUUUGUUACACUUUUUUACUCCACCAAUAGAUGGCGGAGGAAAGUGUCACUCUACCUAUUGGAUAUCUGUGUAAAUCAUAGAGCUUUCCUGUCUUCUCUAUUUGAUCUUUGUACCAUCGUGAUUUUUUGGGUUUUCUCAAUCCCAUCCGUUUGAUUGAAUAUUUAUUCAAAAUCUAUCAUCUAUAACCCGUUUUUCCCUGUCUAAUUUCUGUUCUUUUGUUCUGUUUACCUCAUCAAUCUAUUUUUUUUCCAUUUCCUCGUAUUUCUGUGUUUGCCAUGUCACCUAUUUUCCCAUUUUCUCAAUUUAUUUUUUCAUUUUCUUUUUUUUUUCCAACCUGAUGCCUGUAAUGUAUGUCACAGGUUAUAGAGAUGUAUGUCCACCCCUGUAUUUCUCUCUCUUUUUCUUUUAAUGUUUUUAUUUUAUUUUCAUGUAAUUGCACAUUUACACACCAAACAUUCAUGAUAUUUAAAACUAAAACAAAAUUAAUGAUAAAAUUAAAUUUAAAAAAUCUUUGGAAACCAUGUUUAUUUCUUACCUUUUUUGUUUCGUUAUUAUUUUUUGAGUUUCAUUUUCCACUUAUAUCCCGCGACCCUUUUAUUCUUCCUCCUUGACCUCUGACCUCGAUGCUUCAUGACCUCUCGUCGAAGUUGACCUUUUUUCAGUAAGACAUAAGCCUUUUUUUAUCCUUUUUUUCUAUUUCUCUGACUGUAGCUUCGGUCCAGUUUGCUACUAACCGCUUGCACUUGCUGGGUAUUUCGUAACCGGAAAACUUUUUGCUUUUUUUUUAUUUCCUGGAAAAAAAAAACACGAACGCCAGUAACUUUUUUAAAUGGAAGAACAAAACCUCUCUCUCUUUUUGGUGAUUCCAAUGCAUCGCUUCAGCUUAGCGCCCUUUUUGCCUGGUCUAGGGGAGACUUUUGGAAAAUUUUCUGUUACGUUUCCGCAUCUCUUCACUUACUGUUGGUAUUCGCAGACACACGCACACACGCUCUGUCUCACUCUUCUGUUUUAUAUCACUCUCUUUCUCACUGUGUGUGUGUGUGUACCUGUCACUAUCUCUCUCUCUCCCUCUCCCUCUCUUGGCCGUUUUUUGAAAAUCUUUUUUCUCCUCCCCCUCUCUCUCUCUCUCUCUCCCUCCCAGCCUAUACGUCCCUCUCUCAUGCCUGCCUGUUCUCUAAAUAACAAAACACCUUAACCUAGAUAUCAAACCUAUAGAAAAAAAAAAAAAUUGAAACUAACCCCCACCAGUCUAGCGUGAACCAGCACCCCCCCACCCCACUCCCCACUCCCUCCCCCCCCCCCUCCCAAUGGCUCGGGCCGCAUCGUCGCCCCCACAUCCAGCUGUAGCACACAAUGACCCAGCCCUGACGCCCCACAUCGCCCCCCCUGAGUUUGACAACUGCAGGCAGCUGAGCGACGACCUGCAGGUGGAGUGGCAGGCCCAGGAAGACGAAGUCCACAUCAGACUCACGGCCAAGAUGGACGAAGACCAGUACAUCGCUUUCGGACGUCCGAUCUGAUGACAAGCCAGAAAUGCUGAACAGUGACAUUGUGGUGGCCUAUUACGACCCAGAUGAUGGUUCCUUCCACGCCAUAGACUACAGUGUCACAGCAAGGUCGCAGGUAAGUGUUUUUAUUGAGAUUUUCU